Molecule: ribosomal RNA, 253 nt
Filed under: uncultured bacterium
Lineage: Bacteria
Description: partial 16S ribosomal RNA
Rfam family: Bacterial small subunit ribosomal RNA
Source: RNAcentral
UACAGAGGUCCCAAGCGUUGUUCGGAUUCACUGGGCGCAAAGGGUGCGCAGGUGGGUUUGCAAGUUCGAUGUGAAAGCCCCGGGCUUAACCCGGGAAUGGCAUUGGAUACUGCAGAUCUGGAGGAUCGGAGGGGGGACUGGAAUUCUUGGUGUAGCAGUGAAAUGCGUAGAUAUCAAGAGGAACACCAGUGGCGAAGGCGAGUCCCUGGACGAUACCUGACACUGAGGCACGAAAGCUAGGGGAGCAAACAGG